AUUGAACGCUGGCGGCAGGCCUAACACAUGCAAGUCGAGCGAGCGGCGGACGGGUGAGUAAUGUAUGGGGACUGCCCGAUAGCGGGGGAUCACUACUGGACACGGUGGCUAAUCACGCAUACUAUCGGAUAACCCCUCUUGGUUGAGCUAGUAGGUGGGGUAAAGGCUCACAUAGGCGACGAUCUCUAGCUGGUCUGAGAGACUGAUCAGCCACACUGAGACUGAGACACGGCCCAGACUCAUACGGAGGCGGCAGUGGGGAAUAUUGUACAAUGGGCGCAAGCCUGAUGCAGCCAUGCCGCGUGUAUGAAGAGGGCCUUAGGGUUGUAAAGUACUUUCAGCGGGGAGGCGUUACCCGCAGAAGAGGCACCGGCUAACUCCGUGCCAGCAGCCGCGGUAAUAC
This 403-nucleotide ribosomal RNA is filed under the name uncultured bacterium. RNAcentral describes it as "partial 16S ribosomal RNA". It matches the Rfam family "Bacterial small subunit ribosomal RNA", at positions 30 to 526 of the family's 1533-position model. The record is from RNAcentral.